This 337-nucleotide unclassified non-coding RNA is filed under the name soil metagenome. RNAcentral's name for it is "partial contains 5.8S ribosomal RNA, internal transcribed spacer 2, and large subunit ribosomal RNA". The stretch from base 1 to 120 matches the Rfam family "5.8S ribosomal RNA", at positions 35 to 154 of the family's 154-position model. The record is from RNAcentral.
GAUGAAGAACGUAGCGAAAUGCGAUAAGUAGUGUGAAUUGCAGAAUUCAGUGAAUCAUCGAAUCUUUGAACGCACAUUGCGCCCCUUGGUAUUCCAUGGGGCAUGCCUGUUCGAGCGUCAUUUGUACCUUCAAGCUCUGCUUGGUGUUGGGUGUUUGUCUCGCCUCUGCGUGUAGACUCGCCUCAAAACAAUUGGCAGCCGGCGUAUUGAUUUCGGAUCGCAGUACAUCUCGCGCUUUGCACUCAUAACGACGACGUCCAAAAGUACAUUUCUACACUCUUGACCUCGGAUCAGGUAGGGAUACCCGCUGAACUUAAGCAUAUCAAUAAGCGGAGGA